Molecule: ribosomal RNA, 441 nt
Filed under: uncultured bacterium
Lineage: Bacteria
Description: partial 16S ribosomal RNA
Rfam family: Bacterial small subunit ribosomal RNA
Source: RNAcentral
CCUACGGGUGGCAGCAGUGGGGAAUAUUGCACAAUGGGCGCAACCCUGACGCAGCAACGCCGCGUGAAGGAAGACGGUUUUCGGAUUGUAAACUUCUGUUCUUAGUGACGAAUAAUGACGCUAUCCAAGGUGCAAGCCACGGCUAACUACGUGCCAGCAGCCCCGGUAAUACGGAGGUGGCAAGUGUUGUCCGGAAUGAAUGGGGGUAAAGGGAGCGCAGGCGGGAAGGUAAGUCAGCUGUGAAAACUACGGGCUUAACUUGUAGACUGCAGUUGAAACUGGUUGUCUUGAGUGAAGGAGAGGUAGGCGGAAUUCCGAGUGUAGCGGUGAAAUGCGUAGAUAUUCGGAGGAACACCGGUGGCGAAGGCGGCCUACUGGGCUUUAACUGACGCUGAGGCUCGAAAGUGUGGGGAGCAAACAGGAUUAGAUACCCUUGUAGUC